This 76-nucleotide transfer RNA is filed under the name Gammaproteobacteria bacterium. Its description in RNAcentral is "tRNA-Phe". It matches the Rfam family "tRNA". From Rfam's summary of the family: Transfer RNA (tRNA) molecules are approximately 80 nucleotides in length. Their secondary structure includes four short double-helical elements and three loops (D, anti-codon, and T loops). Further hydrogen bonds mediate the characteristic L-shaped molecular structure. tRNAs have two regions of fundamental functional importance: the anti-codon, which is responsible for specific mRNA codon recognition, and the 3' end, to which the tRNAs corresponding amino acid is attached (by aminoacyl-tRNA synthetases). tRNAs cope with the degeneracy of the genetic code in two manners: having more than one tRNA (with a specific anti-codon) for a particular amino acid; and 'wobble' base-pairing, i.e. permitting non-standard base-pairing at the 3rd anti-codon position. RNAcentral also lists the same sequence under 3 other names. Lineage: Bacteria; Pseudomonadati; Pseudomonadota; Gammaproteobacteria. The record is from RNAcentral.
GGCCAGAUAGCUCAGUCGGUAGAGCAGCGGAUUGAAAAUCCGCGUGUCGGUGGUUCGAUUCCACCUCUGGCCACCA